This 2584-nucleotide long non-coding RNA is filed under the name Mus musculus (house mouse). RNAcentral describes it as "long non-coding RNA chr10:41826537-41829121". Lineage: Eukaryota; Metazoa; Chordata; Mammalia; Rodentia; Muridae. The record is from RNAcentral.
UCAGGCCAGGCUCUGGUGGCGCACUCCUUUAAUACUAGCACAUGGGAGGCAGAGGCAGGUGGGUCUCUGUGAGUUCUUAGUAAGCAAGGAAAGAGUUCUCCCCAGAGUGGAAGUGACUCGGGAGCCAAGGGAAGCCACAGAAGCAUUGAGUCACCCAGUGUUGGGCUUCGUAGCUCUCUGCUCCUGUUUGUACUUGAUUUCUUAGAUGGGCCACAGGAGGGAGACUUCCCCUUUCCUGCAGACUAGCCUCCUUCAGCCUGUUAAUUCUGAGGUAGCGUGUUUAGUUCCUACUCUCUCAUAACAGGCAUAUAUUACCUCAGUUUUUAAAAAAAACAAUUUAAAAUCAAUGUGGAAAGAUUACAUGACAUAGAGAAUUAAUAGUAAUUUAGAGCAAGGGAUGAUGAGGGCAGCUUGAGAUAAUAAAGAUAGCUUAGUAGAGCAAAUAAACCCUAAUGUGAUAAUUGACUUCCCUCCUCAGCUUAUCUUUACACAAGCGUGCGCUCUUUCUAUCCCCAACAUGCCCAAGCCUAGCCCCUGAUGACUGGCUGGCCAGGUAGCUCUGGCCCUCUUGAUCUUGCCUGCAGAGUGAGUUUUGACCUGAUCAUUGUUUCCCUUUUGCUCCAUCUGCAAAGCUCGUGAGAACUUGUAACUAGGACUCCUGUGAAAGCUGUCUUGCUUUGAUUUUUAAGGCAGGGCCUCCCAUAGCUCAGUCUGGCCUUGGAAUUGGUUGUGUGCUGAGAGCAGGGCAGUCUUAAACUUCUGACCUUCCAUGUCUCUACCUGCCUGCCACGUGUUAGUUCUAGUCCUGUGCUUCCAGGCCUGGCAGCUUUGGUUUGUGCUGUCCUGAAACAGGCUCUUUCAGUAUAGGCCAGGCUGUCCUCAACUUCAUGACCAUCCGAGUCUGCUUCCCAUGUGCCAGCGUUUCAGGUGUGUGCCCCCAGCUUCCCAUUGCAGAGUUUCCCAUCCAGAAUCAAAGAUGGAGGUGGCCAAAUGGACUUGUAAGCUUCUAGUUCCUAAAAUGCCUUUUUUUUUAGCAUUUAAAUCCAUUCAUUUGUGCUGUUGAUGCCCGCUUGAAAGGGGGCUGAACCAAGGAAGCCUUUGAAUCCUGCCUAGAUCAGAAUUAAUCUUCCACCCUCAGCUAGGACUGAUGUCUGUCCUGUGUGCAUUGGCGCAACAAUGCUUGUUAAAUUACUGGUGUGUUUCCAUGCCAGCUGGCCAAUAAUAAAUAGAAAACAGUAUAAAGUUAAUAAUACUCUGUCAAGAGGUUUGUGUUGGAAACCACACAUGCACUUGGGCAUUAUGCUAAAGAUGGAGGUAGGAGACCUGCUCAGAUGCCCUAUACCUGCGGAUGUUGAAGAAGGUACAGCAGCCCCUGGGUAGGAGACAGUGACUUUGUCUCUGACCUGAUAAGGACCUAAUCUUACAAAGGAAGUGUCACUUGUACCAAAUGCAGAAGUAGCAUCCAGGCUUGGGUGGUAACUGGAGACCCGGUCAUAGCCAAGCGCAACACCCUCACUCACUAGCUGCAGUCCCUCUGGCGAGUUUGAAGAGCUUUAACAACUCAAUUUAACCUACUGAUCCAGAAUGCUUUUGGUGGUUGGAAACCACACAUAUUUGUUAUCUUGAGAUUUCUAUGGCAUGGCUUAGCUGGACCUCUCCUUGAAGGUCUUUUAUGGUACUGCAGCUAAGAUCUCAAAUUAGCAAAAGCUAUAAUCUUGUGUGAAGGCUCAGGAGAGUAUGGUCUGCUUCCAUGUGCACAUAAUUGCUGUUAGGAUUUUGUUCCUUGAGAACUGAUAUAGAGAGGGUCUCAAUUAUGGAAUUGGCCAGGGACUACCAUGUGGGCCUCUCCGAUUGUUUCAUCAGGAAAUACGUGAGAAGAGCUAGAGACUAUCAGCAAAAUACAAGUUACAGUUUUUCACAACAUAAUCUGGAAGGAGACAAAGCUUCACUUUAGUCAUAAUCUUUUCACUCAAAGCUGUUGCUGAGGUCCAGCCCUUGCUCAAGGUCAGCAGAUUACUGAAGGGCAAAUGGCAUGGGAAGAAUACCGUAAGGCAGGAUCAGUGGGAGGCAGUCUGAAAGUAGCCUACUGUAACAACCUCUCCUGGGACUAGGGCAUGGGAGGAAGGGCUCUCCCUCCAUGCUGUGGAGAAAGCUACAGUUGACCGUACGUGUGUGGAGAGGAGUUAAUGAAGAGCGUAAUAUCAAAGGGUUAGUAUGGUACUGAUCUGACUCCUCCCACACUUGUAAGCAAUCUCCAGAUAAAGAAUUUUCUGCCAUCUUCACCAGUGGAUGCUGAACUCAGGCCCUAUCUCCUCCUUUGCUAGGGUCCACCAAGACUCAGGAGGAGAGGUCUACCUGCCUCUGGUAUCAUCUUCCUCUUCCUCAUUGCCUCCCUACACACAUUGCUCUCCUUCAUGCCUGUGUAGUUCAGGGAAACUUCCCAGUCUGCUCUUGGCCAAAGGGCAGGAAAUGGCAGAUGUCUUUCUGUCACCAUUUGGUGGCUAUAUAAUGAGAUACACAUCAAGUCUCACCUGUAGUGAAAAUGAAUGAAAAACUCUCAGACUUUUAUAAGCAUCCUCAAGUU